RNAcentral lists this ribosomal RNA (253 nucleotides) under uncultured bacterium. RNAcentral describes it as "partial 16S ribosomal RNA". It matches the Rfam family "Bacterial small subunit ribosomal RNA", at positions 524 to 776 of the family's 1533-position model. The record is from RNAcentral.
GACGAAGGGGGCUAGCGUUGCUCGGAAUUACUGGGCGUAAAGCGCGUGUAGGCGGCUGUUCAAGUUGGGCGUGAAAGCCUUGGGCUUAACCCAAGAAAUGCGCUCAAUACUGGAUAGCUAGAGGACCGGAGAGGAUAGCGGAAUUCCCAGUGUAGUGGUGAAAUACGUAGAGAUUGGGAAGAACACCAGUGGCGAAGGCGGCUAUCUGGACGGUUUCUGACGCUAAGACGCGAAAGCGUGGGGAGCAAACAGG